This 430-nucleotide long non-coding RNA is filed under the name Manihot esculenta (cassava). RNAcentral's name for it is "long non-coding RNA (MESC_LNC008768)". The record is from RNAcentral. Lineage: Eukaryota; Viridiplantae; Streptophyta; Magnoliopsida; Malpighiales; Euphorbiaceae.
UAAAUGGAUGAUUCAUGCAACUGGAAUAUGCAGUCUUCAAACAUCAUAAUGCUCUAGCUAUUUGGGCAUCAUCUGUUAAUGUUUUCACCAGUACUAGGUUCCAAAAUUAAGACAAAUGAAAAAUAAAUAAAUAAGAAGCAACUCAAAAAAUUAUACAUAACAUCAAACCUACCCUUAACAAGCUCAAAAUAAGAUCAAAAUGAUUUAUGGUAACUCUGGUAAUGAUCUUCAUUUUCCAAAAUAUUUACAGCUGCUGAGGCUCACGGUGUCAUUUAGGCACCUCAAUUCUUUAUAGGCACCUCCAAUGAAGAACUAACUGAAUUGAUUUAAUUUGAAAUUUUAUUUGGUUUUUAUUCUUUAUAGGCAGUUUGAAAAAAGUCCAAAAUAAAUUUCAAAAGGACAAAAAUGAGGCUCAAACAGUAUCAGUAUC